RNAcentral lists this long non-coding RNA (969 nucleotides) under Olea europaea subsp. europaea. Lineage: Eukaryota; Viridiplantae; Streptophyta; Magnoliopsida; Lamiales; Oleaceae. The record is from RNAcentral.
AUUUAAUCAAGUAUUAAAUACGUUCAAAACCCACAACCUCGAAUCAAAACCUUCUGUUCCAAAAAGCUCUCAAACCAUUUACAGCAAAGCUUUACAAAUCUCUACUCCUAAAUUGUUUAGAUCCUUCAAGUGAAACAUCCGGGUGGUGACCAUGAGCAGGACCAACGUGUUUCCCUCCUUCGUCAAGUCAACUAUGCCAACCGCGCAGUUUCGAUGAGAAUUACAUCCAAGAACUCGUUGAGAAAGCCAUCAGGUUCGCUUUACAUAUGCGUACUUAUUGUUAAUAUAUCUAUAUAUUAUUUUGUUCUUUUUCUACGUUUGGGGUUUUCUUUUGCCUUUCUUCGAAGCCACACUUUUUGUGAUCAAAGUGGAUUAGGGAAGUUCUGGAUUGGAUAUGUUACUCCAAUUGAAUGGGAUUAAAAUUUUUAGAGUAUAUUGUUUAUGCUUUGUAGAUUUUUUGUUUAAUUGCUCUAAAACUGAAAGAACGAAAGCACUUUCUUUCUUAAUGCAUACGAUGGCCUCAAAAUAACUGAAGGAAGUGUCAAAGGGAAGGACAAGUGACUCAGCAACUGGAGUUUCACAUCACUAGCUUUCGUGUUAGGUAGCAAAAGCAUUGGAAGAGUUUCUUGACUUACCAGUAUUUGUUGAUAGUCCGCAUGAUAGACUACCAAACUGUUGUUGUAACAAUUUCUACAUUUUUUUCCUCUUUCCUUUUUAUAAUUUGCAUAUGAUUUUAUAAAUUAAAGAAAACAGGUUUUUGGUUACGCUUCAUGCUUUUUAACAAUUUAUUUAAGGCUGAAAGCUGUUAGCAUCAUAUACAUUUCAAAACUGUUGUAUACUGUACCAUUAAGCAAUUUAGUUUUGUAAUUUUUGAUGUAUUGUUUCCUACCUUUUUUAGUAUUCAUCCUUGUUAAGCAAUUUAGCUUUGUAAUUUUUGAUGUAUUGUUUCCAACUUUUCUAAAAUUUCGG